GACGAACGCUGGCGGCGUGCUUAACACAUGCAAGUCGAACGGAAAGGCCCUGCUUUUGUGGGGUGCUCGAGUGGCGAACGGGUGAGUAACACGUGAGUAACCUGCCCUUGACUUUGGGAUAACUUCAGGAAACUGGGGCUAAUACCGGAUAGGAGCUCCUGCUGCAUGGUGGGGGUUGGAAAGUUUCGGCGGUUGGGGAUGGACUCGCGGCUUAUCAGCUUGUUGGUGGGGUAGUGGCUUACCAAGGCUUUGACGGGUAGCCGGCCUGAGAGGGUGACCGGCCACAUUGGGACUGAGAUACGGCCCAGACUCCUACGGGAGGCAGCAGUGGGGAAUAUUGCGCAAUGGGCGGAAGCCUGAUGCAGCAACCCCGCGUGCGGGAUGACGGCCUUCGGGUUGUAAACCGCUUUCGCCUGUGACGAAGCGUGAGUGACGGUAAUGGGUAAAGAAGCACCGGCUAACUACGUG
This 468-nucleotide ribosomal RNA is filed under the name uncultured bacterium. RNAcentral describes it as "partial 16S ribosomal RNA". It matches the Rfam family "Bacterial small subunit ribosomal RNA", at positions 28 to 507 of the family's 1533-position model. The record is from RNAcentral.